Equus asinus (donkey) is the source of this 162-nucleotide small nuclear RNA. Its record names the gene U4. It matches the Rfam family "U4 spliceosomal RNA". Rfam says of the family: U4 small nuclear RNA (U4 snRNA) is a component of the major U2-dependent spliceosome. The structure of U4 snRNA from yeast and human has been reported. Lineage: Eukaryota; Metazoa; Chordata; Mammalia; Perissodactyla; Equidae. The record is from Ensembl.
AACCUCUCGCACAUUGGCAGUAUCAUAGCCAAUGAGAUUUAUCCGAGGCACGAUUAUUGCCAAUUGAAAACUUUUCCCAAACCUCUCUGUGUACUCGCUUUGGUCAGCUUACCUACACCAGAUGGUGAUCAGAAUUCCAAAUUCUGAAUCAUGUGUUAUUAG